Molecule: long non-coding RNA, 642 nt
Organism: Mus musculus (house mouse)
Lineage: Eukaryota; Metazoa; Chordata; Mammalia; Rodentia; Muridae
Product: RIKEN cDNA 2310039L15 gene
Exons: 3
Source: RefSeq, marked validated
AUCUGGAGGCUUGGAGAUAGAAGUUUCUGAUCUGGAUCUUGGUAUGGAGAUCUUGAGCCAUAGUGGCUAUGGAUUCCAGAAGAUUAAAUCUCCGAGUUUAAGGAACACACCUUUAAUCUGGGCUACACCUUCUGCUGGAGACAAUAUAAGGACAUUGGAAGAAGGGAGUCUAGCUCUUGCUCCUUUGCCUGCUUACUGUGUGAGACUGAGUAACUGCUAGAUCCUUGGACUUCCAUUCACAGCUGCGACUGAACCAUUGUUGGGAAUUGGGCUGCCGACUUACCCGUGUAAAGCUUCAACUGCGAUCCCGGUAUGAGGGAUGAAGGAAGCAGAGACAGGAGACUCCCCGGCUCAUUGGAGUAUCUAAAAUCUGAAAAACUGUACCCUUCACGGUGCCUGUCAGCGUUGGGCAAAAGGCUGAGAAGGAAGGGCUGGCUGUACGUCUUGGGAUGGGGGUCCAAACCCCUUUCAGCCACUGUCUGCAGUGUCCGCAGCCUCCACCCCUGGUCUGCUUCCUCCGAACCACUCCGGGGUGGUUUGGCAAGAAUAUCGUCUGAGAAUACUGACCUGGUGUAUUUGUUCUGUUAUAACUAAAUACCUGAGACUGAAUAAUCUAUAAUAAAAAGUAAUUUUUCAAAGUUC